UUUCUUUUCCUAAUGCAAAAUGAAGUACACAAUUACUCUUUAAGCUCUUCUUUUAUAUACAUAGGAAAUACUAAAUUCCUACCUAUACCAUCACUAUUUGAAACACAUGACAUUGCCUUCUCAUCAUCAUUGUCGCUUAAUGAGAAGAACAAUUAAAGGCACAUUCCACCAGGUACUGUAACUUAGUUAUUCUUGGUGGAAGUUCCAUUGCAUAUCUAAUAACCUCAUCAACCUCUUCGCGGAACUAUUACUUGGGAAGAGCUUGGAUACAGGAAUAACUUGGAUAUAGUACCUGACAGGAUGUGUCUUUGAUCAAUUGUUGAUCUCUAUUGCUACAAUGAUAAUGAGAAGGCAAUGACAUGUGUUUCAAAAUAGUGAUGGUGUAGGUAGGAUUUAACAUUUCCUAGGUAGAUAAAUGAGGUUAUAGUGAAAUUCUCUACGUCACUUUCCAAGAGGAAAAAAAGUUUGAUUGAUAGCGAUACAUUUCCUAAGUAGAUAAAAGAUGUUAUCGAGAAAUUCUCUACUUCACUUUCUAAGAGGAAAAUAAGUUUGAUUGAUAGUGACAACGUUGAUGAAGACGGAAUGUUUCCCGUCGGUCGUGUCAGUUCCUAUAAAGCGGGGAUCAUAAGACUUUAUGAUGACAAAGAUAAUAGGAAGUUUUGUUCUAAAUUUUCUUUCAAGUCUAAUCCGCCAAGUUUAAUGUGAUAAUUGUGAUAUUUAUUCGGAUUCUGAGACUGAUUUGACCAACAAAACUAUAGAAAUGCAUUCAACCUCUUAUUCGUUUUAUCAAAAUUUCCAUACUUCUGUCCAUGAAAUCAUCGUCUGAAUCCGACGAACUAUCACCAAUAUCACAUUAAGCUGGAAUUUAUUAACCUUGGAAUAAAGUCGAGUACAAAGCUUCCUAAAAUCUUGGUCAUCAUACAGUCUUAUAAUCCCCUUUUUAUGGGAACCUCAUGACCGACGGAACACAUUCCAUCUGUAUCAACCUCGUCACUCUCAAUUAAACUUCUUUUCNNN
This 1017-nucleotide long non-coding RNA is filed under the name Nicotiana benthamiana. Its description in RNAcentral is "long non-coding RNA (NBEN_LNC019830)". Lineage: Eukaryota; Viridiplantae; Streptophyta; Magnoliopsida; Solanales; Solanaceae. The record is from RNAcentral.